This 253-nucleotide ribosomal RNA is filed under the name uncultured bacterium. RNAcentral describes it as "partial 16S ribosomal RNA". It matches the Rfam family "Bacterial small subunit ribosomal RNA", at positions 524 to 776 of the family's 1533-position model. The record is from RNAcentral.
UACGUAUGGUGCAAGCGUUAUCCGGAUUUAUUGGGUGUAAAGGGUGCGUAGACGGGAUUACAAGUUGGUUGUGAAACCCCUCAGCUCAACUGAGGAACUGCAACCAAAACUAUAAUUCUUGAGUGCAGGAGAGGAAAGUGGAAUUCCUAGUGUAGCGGUGAAAUGCGUAGAUAUUAGGAAGAACACCGGUGGCGAAGGCGACUUUCUGGACUGUAACUGACGUUGAGGCACGAAAGUGUGGGGAGCAAACAGG